RNAcentral lists this ribosomal RNA (504 nucleotides) under Lynchius tabaconas. Its description in RNAcentral is "partial 12S ribosomal RNA". It matches the Rfam family "Bacterial small subunit ribosomal RNA", at positions 829 to 1533 of the family's 1533-position model. Lineage: Eukaryota; Metazoa; Chordata; Amphibia; Anura; Strabomantidae. The record is from RNAcentral.
CUAUGCAAGUCGCAAACUUUUAUUUACAAUUGAAUCGCCAGGGUACUACGAGCAGAGCUUAAAACCCAAGGGACUUGACGGUACCCCAUAUCCACCUAGAGGAGCCUGUCCUAUAAUUGAUAACCCCCGCUAAACCUCACCACCAUUAGCUUAUUCAGCCUGUAUACUUCCGUCGUCAGCUUACCCCGUGAGCGAAGUCAAGUCAGCAUAAUGCCUAUCCGCCAACACGUCAGGUCAAGGUGCAGCAAACAUGGUGGGAAGAGAUGGGCUACACUUUCUAAUCUAGAAAACACGAAAGACUACAUGAAAACAAGUCAGAAGGUGGAUUUAGUAGUAAAAAGAAAAUAGAGUGUUCUUUUUAAAUUGGCCCUGGGGUAAGUACACACCGCCCGUCACCCUCCUCAUAGCGUAAACCCAGUAUAUAACAAUUCCAGGCACUGUAGAAGAGGUAAGUCGUAACAUGGUAAGUAUACCGGAAGGUGUUCUUGGAAUGAGACAUAGCUU